CCUACGGGGAGCAGCAGUCGAGAAUCAUUCACAAUGGGGGAAACCCUGAUGGUGCGACGCCGCGUGGGGGAAUGAAGGUCUUCGGAUUGUAAACCCCUUUCAUGUGGGAGCAAAUGAAAAAGAUAGUACCACAAGAGGAAGAGACGGCUAACUCUGUGCGAGCAGCCGCGGUAAUACAGAGGUCUCAAGCGUGUUUCGGAAUCACUGGCCGUAAAGCGUGCGUAGGCGGUUUCGUAAGUCGUGUGUGAAAGGCGUGGGCGCAACCCGCGGACGGCGUAUGAUACUGCGAGACUAGAGUAAUGAAGGGGGAACUGGAAUUCUCGGUGUAGCAGUGAAAUGCGUAGAUAUCGAGAGGAACACUCGUGGCGAAGGCGGGUUUCUGGACAUUAACUGACGCUGAGGCACGAAGGCCAGGGGAGCGAAAGGGAUUAGAUACCCCUGUAGUC
This 446-nucleotide ribosomal RNA is filed under the name uncultured bacterium. RNAcentral describes it as "partial 16S ribosomal RNA". It matches the Rfam family "Bacterial small subunit ribosomal RNA", at positions 338 to 795 of the family's 1533-position model. The record is from RNAcentral.